RNAcentral lists this ribosomal RNA (535 nucleotides) under Erwinia sp. Its description in RNAcentral is "bacterial SSU rRNA". It matches the Rfam family "Bacterial small subunit ribosomal RNA", at positions 848 to 1381 of the family's 1533-position model. Lineage: Bacteria; Pseudomonadati; Pseudomonadota; Gammaproteobacteria; Enterobacterales; Erwiniaceae. The record is from RNAcentral.
AGCUAACGCAGUUUAAGUUCGACCGCCUGGGGAGUACGGCCGCAAGGUUAAAACUCAAAUGAAUUGACGGGGGCCCGCACAAGCGGUGGAGCAUGUGGUUUAAUUCGAUGCAACGCGAAGAACCUUACCUGGCCUUGACAUCCACGGAAUUCUCCAGAGAUGCCUUAGUGCCUUCGGGAACCGUGAGACAGGUGCUGCAUGGCUGUCGUCAGCUCGUGUUGUGAAAUGUUGGGUUAAGUCCCGCAACGAGCGCAACCCUUAUCCUUUGUUGCCAGCGAGUAAUGUCGGGAACUCAAAGGAGACUGCCGGUGACAAACCGGAGGAAGGUGGGGAUGACGUCAAGUCAUCAUGGCCCUUACGGCCAGGGCUACACACGUGCUACAAUGGCGCAUACAAAGAGAAGCGAACUCGCGAGAGCAAGCGGACCUCACAAAGUGCGUCGUAGUCCGGAUCGGAGUCUGCAACUCGACUCCGUGAAGUCGGAAUCGCUAGUAAUCGUAGAUCAGAAUGCUACGGUGAAUACGUUCCCGGGCCU